Molecule: ribosomal RNA, 633 nt
Filed under: Burkholderia sp. IBa301
Lineage: Bacteria; Pseudomonadati; Pseudomonadota; Betaproteobacteria; Burkholderiales; Burkholderiaceae
Also listed under: 29 other names
Description: bacterial SSU rRNA
Rfam family: Bacterial small subunit ribosomal RNA
Source: RNAcentral
CCUGAUCCAGCAAUGCCGCGUGUGUGAAGAAGGCCUUCGGGUUGUAAAGCACUUUUGUCCGGAAAGAAAUCCUUGGCUCUAAUACAGUCGGGGGAUGACGGUACCGGAAGAAUAAGCACCGGCUAACUACGUGCCAGCAGCCGCGGUAAUACGUAGGGUGCGAGCGUUAAUCGGAAUUACUGGGCGUAAAGCGUGCGCAGGCGGUUUGCUAAGACCGAUGUGAAAUCCCCGGGCUCAACCUGGGAACUGCAUUGGUGACUGGCAGGCUAGAGUAUGGCAGAGGGGGGUAGAAUUCCACGUGUAGCAGUGAAAUGCGUAGAGAUGUGGAGGAAUACCGAUGGCGAAGGCAGCCCCCUGGGCCAAUACUGACGCUCAUGCACGAAAGCGUGGGGAGCAAACAGGAUUAGAUACCCUGGUAGUCCACGCCCUAAACGAUGUCAACUAGUUGUUGGGGAUUCAUUUCCUUAGUAACGUAGCUAACGCGUGAAGUUGACCGCCUGGGGAGUACGGUCGCAAGAUUAAAACUCAAAGGAAUUGACGGGGACCCGCACAAGCGGUGGAUGAUGUGGAUUAAUUCGAUGCAACGCGAAAAACCUUACCUACCCUUGACAUGGUCGGAAUCCUGCUGAGAGG